This 497-nucleotide ribosomal RNA is filed under the name uncultured bacterium. Its description in RNAcentral is "partial 16S ribosomal RNA". It matches the Rfam family "Bacterial small subunit ribosomal RNA", at positions 28 to 507 of the family's 1533-position model. The record is from RNAcentral.
GAUGAACGCUGGCGGCGUGCCUAAUACAUGCAAGUCGAGCGAACGGACGAGAAGCUUGCUUCUCUGAUGUUAGCGGCGGACGGGUGAGUAACACGUGGAUAACCUACCUAUAAGACUGGGAUAACUUCGGGAAACCGGAGCUAAUACCGGAUAAUAUUUUGAACCGCAUGGUUCAAAAGUGAAAGACGGCCUUGCGGGAACUAAUCGAGGGUUCCGCGCUGCAUUAGCUAGUUGUUAAGGUAACGGCUUACCAAGGCAACGAUGCAUAGCCGACCUGAGGGGGUGAUAGGCCACACUGGAACUGAGACACGGUCCAGACUCCUACGGGAGGCAGCAGUAGGGAAUCUUCCGCAAUGGGCGAAAGUCUGACGGAGCAACGCCGCGUGAGUGAUGAAGGUCUUCGGAUCGUAAAACUCUGUUAUUAGGGAAGAACAUAUGUGUAAGUAACUGUGCACAGCUUGACGGUACCUAAUCAGAAAGCCACGGCUAACUACGUG